Zea mays is the source of this 174-nucleotide non-coding RNA. The record is from RefSeq and is marked provisional. NCBI's taxonomy places the organism in Eukaryota, Viridiplantae, Streptophyta, Magnoliopsida, Poales, Poaceae.
CAGCCAGCCGGUGAUUUCUGGAGUGGCAUCAUCAAGAUUCACACACUGCAUGCCAACAUAAUGCGCGUGUUCAUGCAUCCAUCGCCGCCGCUGCAUCAUGCAUCAUAUAUAAUAUAUAUAUAUGUGUAUGUGUGGGAAUCUUGAUGAUGCUGCAUUGGAUAUCAAGGGCUAUAU